UUUCCGUAGAUGAACCUGCGGAAGGAUCAUUAUUGUAUAACCGAGGUGCGAGGGCUGUCGCUGACCCGAAAGGUCGUGCACGCCCGAGUGCCCUCACACACAUCCAUCUCACCCCUAUGUGCACCACCGCGUGGGUCCCCCUUUGGCUUGUUCGGAGGGGGGCUUACGUUUUCACACAAACUUUGUAUGCAGUGUAGAAUGUAUUUUUUGUUUUUGCGAUCACGCAAUCAAUACAACUUUCAACAACGGAUCUCUUGGCUCUC
Molecule: unclassified non-coding RNA, 263 nt
Filed under: plant metagenome
Description: partial contains small subunit ribosomal RNA, internal transcribed spacer 1, and 5.8S ribosomal RNA
Source: RNAcentral